ACUGGGCUGUUUACAAUCCAGUGGUGUGUUGCAGAGAGUGGGUGGCCUGAAACACUCCACUGUGCCUGGUCUCAUCACAACAUCAUUUCAGAUUGAAAUGUUGGCUGUUAACUUACUGGAAGUAGUAAAGCAACUUGGCGGAAAAGAUACCAUGUGUACGUCGUUGAAGAAGCUUGACAUAUCAGAGCAGGAUGAUUACGCAUCCCUUAAAUGUCAGUGUGGGCGUCACAUCAUAGCCCCAUGUGUUUGGAAGGAUAUAAACAACUGAGCCAGAGGUUGUGAUGUAAUGUGUGUGACUGAUCCCAUGCUCAUAACAGGAGACGAUUCCGAGGAAGCCCAGCAGGCUGACCUCAUUCAUGGGCAGGCUGGUGUUGGACCACGCUGUGUCCAGGCGGCCCCCGGCACAGCACUCCUCUCUGGUCACCCCUCUCAUCAGCACCAUGUCGCACCUUUGGUCUUGACUCUGCUGCAGCCAGCACAUCCCAGCUGGAGAUAGUAGCAUAAAGUAAAGUUAAUUUACGCAUAUACAAUAAAAAAUGUUUUGUAUCAUUUUUUAUUUUGUCAAUUGGACUUCUUCUAGUCAAUAUCCAUUAUAUGAAUGGCUGAUUUUAAAACUGCAGUAUAAUAAAGGCUAAUAUAGCACCUG
Molecule: long non-coding RNA, 646 nt
Organism: Cottoperca gobio
Lineage: Eukaryota; Metazoa; Chordata; Actinopteri; Perciformes; Bovichtidae
Exons: 2
Source: RefSeq, a predicted model, not a curated record